GCUUUUCCGGUUCCCUACUCUAUUCAGUGUCAGCCUUUAGAAACUUUCAUGAGAAAUCUUCUGUGUUUAAAGUCCCCAAGUGUGUUCUCUGAGAUAUGCUCCUGUCCUUGCUCCAGCUGGAGAAUCACCUCUCGUUUAGGAGUGAGGUGCCCUGCCCUGUGAUCAUUUUCCACUGGUGUUUGAAGAACACAAAAUACUGUGAGACUAUGGUUGUGUGGGUCUCCCGCUUACCACAUCAGGCUUAGCUUACCUCCACAGCUAUGGCUGCUGUGCUGAAGGUGAAGGUGCUGCCCUCCCAGGUCCUAUGCUUUGUCCCUGCCCAGGAGAGUCCACUUCAGCCUGCAGAGUAACGCCUGGCCUGGAUCCUGGCAUCGUGCACGUGUGGGCAACAUCAUGCAGAAACAUUCUGGGAGAGCAACACUGCCCUGUAUCCAGCCUGAUUCUACACCCACUGACUAUAAGGCAGGUUGCAGAUUGUGACAAAAUGAGGGGAAUCUCUCAUGGUUACAGAUUGGAUUAGUCACAAAGUUACCAAAUCAAGAAUUCCAGGUAAAGUGUUUCAGCCUUCACCUGAAGAUCAUGAAGAGUGUGGUGGGGAUCCACAGCACCUUCAUAAACUGCACGUUGUUACCAGAAUGAAAAGUACGAUAAG
Long non-coding RNA from Octodon degus (degu), 652 nucleotides. RefSeq lists it as uncharacterized. Lineage: Eukaryota; Metazoa; Chordata; Mammalia; Rodentia; Octodontidae. The record is from RefSeq and is a predicted model, not a curated record. The transcript is spliced from 3 exons.